RNAcentral lists this ribosomal RNA (709 nucleotides) under Pseudoalteromonas sp. UST010620-005. RNAcentral describes it as "bacterial SSU rRNA". It matches the Rfam family "Bacterial small subunit ribosomal RNA", at positions 357 to 1065 of the family's 1533-position model. Lineage: Bacteria; Pseudomonadati; Pseudomonadota; Gammaproteobacteria; Alteromonadales; Pseudoalteromonadaceae. The record is from RNAcentral.
GGGGAUUUGCCAAUGGGCGCAAGCCUGUGCAGCCUGCCGCGUGUGUGAAGAAGGCCUUCGGGUUGUAAAGCACUUUCAGUCAGGAGGAAAGGUUAGUAGUUAAUACCUGCUAGCUGUGACGUUACUGACAGAAGAAGCACCGGCUAACUCCGUGCCAGCAGCCGCGGUAAUACGGAGGGUGCGAGCGUUAAUCGGAAUUACUGGGCGUAAAGCGUACGCAGGCGGUUUGUUAAGCGAGAUGUGAAAGCCCCGGGCUUAACCUGGGAACUGCAUUUCGAACUGGCAAACUAGAGUGUGAUAGAGGGUGGUAGAAUUUCAGGUGUAGCGGUGAAAUGCGUAGAGAUCUGAAGGAAUACCGAUGGCGAAGGCAGCCACCUGGGUCAACACUGACGCUCAUGUAGAAAGCGUGGGGAGCAAACAGGAUUAGAUACCCUGGUAGUCCACGCCGUAAACGAUGUCUACUAGGAGCUGGGGUCUUCGACUUUUCCAAAGCUAACGCAUUAAGUAGACCGCCUGGGGAGUACGGCCGCAAGGUUAAAACUCAAAUGAAUUGACGGACGGGGGCCCGCACAAGCGGUGGAGCAUGUGGUUUAAUUCGAUGCAACGCGAAGAACCUUACCUACACUUGACAUACAGAGAACUUACCAGAGAUGGUUUGGUGCCUUCGGGAACUCUGAUACAGGUGCUGCAGGCUGUCGUCAGCUCGUGU